RNAcentral lists this ribosomal RNA (253 nucleotides) under uncultured bacterium. RNAcentral describes it as "partial 16S ribosomal RNA". It matches the Rfam family "Bacterial small subunit ribosomal RNA", at positions 524 to 776 of the family's 1533-position model. The record is from RNAcentral.
UACGUAGGGGGCAAGCGUUGUCCGGCAUCAUUGGGCGUAAAGAGCGUGUAGGCGGCUCGAUAAGUCUGCUGUGAAAGUCCAGGGCUCAACCCUGGAAGGCCGGUGGAAACUGUCGGGCUAGAGUCCGGAAGAGGCGAGUGGAAUUCCCGGUGUAGCGGUGAAAUGCGCAGAUAUCGGGAGGAACACCAAUGGCGAAGGCAGCUCGCUGGGACGGUACUGACGCUGAGACGCGAAAGCGUGGGGAGCAAACAGG